RNAcentral lists this ribosomal RNA (253 nucleotides) under uncultured bacterium. RNAcentral describes it as "partial 16S ribosomal RNA". It matches the Rfam family "Bacterial small subunit ribosomal RNA", at positions 524 to 776 of the family's 1533-position model. The record is from RNAcentral.
UACAGAGGUCCCAAGCGUUGUUCGGAUUCACUGGGCGUAAAGGGUGCGUAGGCGGGCGGGUAAGUCUGAUGUGAAAUCUCACAGCUUAACUGUGAAACUGCAUUGGAUACUAUUCGGCUUGAGAGUUGGAGGGGGGACUGGAAUUCUUGGUGUAGCAGUGAAAUGCGUAGAUAUCAAGAGGAACACCAGUGGCGAAGGCGAGUCCCUGGACAACUUCUGACGCUGAGGCACGAAAGCUAGGGGAGCAAACAGG